AACGCAUAUUGCGCCCCCGAAGGGCAUGCCUGUUCGAGCGUCAUUAUCACCGUAUCAAGCUUGGCUUGUGGUUGGGCCCUGUCACCUGGUGACAGGUCCGAAAGAUAAUGACCGGUGUCAUAUCGACUCUAUAUGCAACGAGCUGAUCACAGCACGCAUCUGGCAGUCGUGUGGCCCGGUCUGCUCCCCCUUUUUUCUCAAGGUUGACCUCGGAUCAGGUAGGAAUACCCGCUGAACUUAA
This 241-nucleotide unclassified non-coding RNA is filed under the name uncultured fungus. RNAcentral's name for it is "partial contains 5.8S ribosomal RNA, internal transcribed spacer 2, and large subunit ribosomal RNA". Lineage: Eukaryota; Fungi. The record is from RNAcentral.